ACGGCUCAGUAACACGUGGACAACCUACCCUCCGGACGGGUAUAAACCCGGGAAACUGGGUAUAAUCCCCGAUAGUCCUCGACUGCUGGAAUGCAUCGAGGACGAAAGCUCCGGCGCCGGAGGAUGGGUCUGCGGCCUAUCAGGUAGUAGUGGGUCUAAUGUACCUACUAGCCUACGACGGGUACGGGUUGUGAGAGCAAGAGCCCGGAGAUGGAUUCUGAGACACGAAUCCAGGCCCUACGGGGUGCAGCAGGCGCGAAAACUUUACAAUGCCGGCAACGGCGAUAAGGGAACCUCGAGUGCCAGGUUACAAAUCUGGCUGUCGUGAUGCCUAAAAAGCAUUGCAUAGCAAGGGCCGGGCAAGACCGGUGCCAGCCGCCGCGGUAACACCGGCGGCUCGAGUGGUAACCGUUAUUAUUGGGUCUAAAGGGUCUGUAGCCGGCCGGAUAAGUCUCUUGGGAAAUCCAGCAGCUCAACUGUUGGGCUUUCAGGAGAUACUGUCUGGCUCGAGGCCGGGAGAGGUGAGAGGUACUUCAGGGGUAGGGGUGAAAUCUUGUAAUCCUUGAAGGACCACCAGUGGCGAAGGCGUCUCACCAGAACGGACCUGACGGCAAGGGACGAAAGCUAGGGGCACGAACCGGAUUAGAUACCCGGGUAGUCCUAGCCGUAAACGAUACUCGCUAGGUGUCGGCCACGG
RNAcentral lists this ribosomal RNA (697 nucleotides) under uncultured Methanotrichaceae archaeon. RNAcentral's name for it is "bacterial SSU rRNA". It matches the Rfam family "Archaeal small subunit ribosomal RNA", at positions 85 to 783 of the family's 1478-position model. The record is from RNAcentral. Lineage: Archaea; Methanobacteriati; Methanobacteriota; Methanomicrobia; Methanotrichales; Methanotrichaceae.